AGAAUGAACGUUGGCGGCGUGGAUUAGGCAUGCAAGUCGAACGAAUCCCAUCUGGGUAACUGGGUGGGGGAAGUGGCGAAAGGGGCAGUAAUGCAUGGGUAACUUGCCCCGGAGUUCGGGAUAGCCUUCCUAACGGAUGGGUAAUACCGAAUGCCGUACCGAGAGGGCCUCCUCAUGGUACGAAAGUUCCGACGCUCCGGGAGAGGUCCAUGUGGUAUUAGCUAGUUGGUGGGUAACGCCCACCAAGGCCAAGAUGCCUAGCAGGUGUGAGAGCACGACCUGCGUCACUGGCACUGGGACACUGGCCAGACUCCUACGGGAGGCUGCAGUCGAGAAUCUUCGGCAAUGGGCGAAAGCCUGACCGAGCGACGCCGCGUGUGCGAUGAAGGCCUUCGGGUUGUAAAGCACUGUCGAGGGAGAGAAAGCCGCAAGGUUUGAUCGAUCUCUGGAGGAAGCGACGGGCUAAGUUCGUGCCAGCAGCCGCGGU
This 487-nucleotide ribosomal RNA is filed under the name uncultured bacterium. RNAcentral describes it as "SSU rRNA". It matches the Rfam family "Bacterial small subunit ribosomal RNA", at positions 26 to 521 of the family's 1533-position model. The record is from RNAcentral.